This 1121-nucleotide long non-coding RNA is filed under the name Homo sapiens (human). RNAcentral describes it as "non-protein coding LINC00964:4". Lineage: Eukaryota; Metazoa; Chordata; Mammalia; Primates; Hominidae. The record is from RNAcentral.
UGUAAAUUCAGUGACUCUGUCUGGGAAAGUAUAGCAAUUAUAUCCUAUAAAAAUUACUGUGAUACUGGAAAGGUAUAACACUAAUAACCUUGGGAAGCUAUAACAUUAAACAGUAACAAUUAGAAUGAAGAGAAUAAAGACACAAAUUUAAAUUCAUAGUGUACUGUAUUAGCACUUUUAUGACUGGUUUUAGUAGUGCAAGUGGCUACAGCUUUUCAGGUGGAUUAUAGCACUGGUGAGAAGAGACCUUUCUUGAUCUUAUUCUUGUGUUCUCACUCUUGUUCUCCUUUUCACUGUAAAAUUCCUGAGAGAAUUAGCCAAGGAUGCAGAAUAUGAUCAGAAAUCUGGGGCCAUAAGAAGCUGGAGCAGCAAAACACAUUCACAGUGCAGCCAGCCCUUGGCUCCCAGAAUUCCCAAAACAAGUGUGCUCCCUUCAGAAAUACAGUCCUUGGAGUAGGAGGCUAACAGAGCUAAGGUGAAGGAUCUAAAACCUGAAAAGAGGCCAAAUGAUUCCUCAAAACCACGCAAGUACGAAGUAGCAGAGCGGAUCUCAAAUCCAGAGCACUGCGUGUUUUGAAAUAUACAAAUAGUGGGAAACGAAAUCUUUGUUCUGGAUGCAGUUAUAAUUUGGAAAGCGAGGAAAUAAAUUAUAACAAGGGGAAAAAACAGACACAGAGGGAUUGAAAUGCAUAACAAUAGAGAUGAAACACGAAGAGUGAUAAAUGAAGAUUGAGUGUGCACACCUUCUGGAGGAGCCCUGAUUGAGUAUUUUAAAAUACUACUAAAGUCAUGCCGUGUGACUUCUGAAGCUAGCUCCUAAGAAGUCCUUGCAGCUUCUGCCUGCGACUCUUAGAACACUUGCUUUGAAGGAUGCCAGAUGCUGUCUUAAAAGUCUGAGCACUCUGAAACCAUCAUGCUGUGAGGAAGCCCAAGCUAACCACAUGGGCAAAAAAGAUGCCCUCUGACUGCCACCAUUUGAGACACUCUAAUUAAGAACUGCCUCAUUGAGCCCAUGAGGCCCUGUGAAUGAUAAUAAUAAAUUGUUUUUAACCACUAUGUUUUUGGAUUUGUUAUAAGUUUAUAGAUAACAAGAAAAAGUUAUAUUAGCAUGGUAAUAAAAU